Molecule: non-coding RNA, 101 nt
Filed under: Heyndrickxia ginsengihumi
Lineage: Bacteria; Bacillati; Bacillota; Bacilli; Caryophanales; Bacillaceae
Description: Bacillus ginsengihumi SAM-I sequence
Rfam family: SAM riboswitch aptamer (S box leader)
About the family: The SAM riboswitch is found upstream of a number of genes which code for proteins involved in methionine or cysteine biosynthesis in Gram-positive bacteria. The SAM riboswitch acts at the level of transcription termination control.
Source: Rfam by way of RNAcentral
UUCUUAUCAUGAGAGGUGGAGGGAAAGGCCCUUUGAAGCCUCGGCAACAGGUUUCUAAACACUGUGCCAAUUCCUGCAGACAAUAGUCUGAAAGAUAAGAA